Puntigrus tetrazona (Sumatra barb) is the source of this 3955-nucleotide long non-coding RNA. RefSeq lists it as uncharacterized. The record is from RefSeq and is a predicted model, not a curated record. The transcript is spliced from 3 exons. NCBI's taxonomy places the organism in Eukaryota, Metazoa, Chordata, Actinopteri, Cypriniformes, Cyprinidae.
GCUCGGGCGGCAGGAACGCCAACUUAGCCGCGAUGCGACUCGGACACGGCGGGCAGCAGAAGAGCCAACACAACUCGCCGAGGGAGAAGCUGUUCAUCCUCGGGCCUUGCUCGGGCAUGGAGGGCGGCCGAUACCGGGUUGCCGACUCACCAAUAAAAAAAGAAGAAGAAGAAGAGAUGCAGGAUGGUUCUUCUUGAUCACAUAAAUCCCCAAACGUGGGCAGGAAAACAAACAGCUAAAAUAAUAGAAAAGAAGACAAAUUACAAAUGUGUCAAAACUUCAAUUUUCUCGUCGAACGUUCAGAGAAAAAAGGAAUGGAUUUAUUGUUUGGUAACGCCAUCACGCCGCAUUCAAAGUAAAGAAACAUUUUCAGGGGCCAGCUGUCCUCUCUUUGAAUGGUUUGAAGGCGGAGGAGGUUGUCAAAAUAUCUUCAUCGACGUGUCCAUCACAGCUUCGCCUCAGGUCCUCAGAGUAAUUGAUGUCUUCUUAAGAGUUUUAGCUGUAAACAUUGCGGAGGAACCUCAAGGAAGUUUCGCCCAGGGGAGCUUAAUGAUCACCAACACCACAGUUUCACUUUGGAAGGUAAAGAAUGUCAACCUACAUUCAGGAGGAACCAGAAACCAUCUCGCAUUACACGCGUGGAGGCUACACGUAACUUAAUUGAGGUCCUGGGGAGAUUCUGGGAAUCUUAUCGGAACCGAGAUUGAGCUUGUUCCUCUCUAAUGAAGUUGGGAGUUUCUGCCUUCCCAGAGCGCUGGAGAACUAACGACAGGAUUGAGUGCGUUUGAUUUUUCAUGAGCCUGCUUGAAUGUAAAGCAUCUCUCCGUCGCUUUAGAAUUUGCCCGAAAGAAGAAGGCAGUGAAAUUUAAUACUGAGCAUGCAGUUGAACGCUUCCUACGUAGGAACAGAGACACUAAAAAACUGAAUGUUUCUGUACUUAAAGGAAGAUAUGCUCAGAUAAAGGGUAAGUGCUGCGCAGCGGGAUGGGUUGUUGUUUUAGGGGCCUCGGAAAUUUCGGAGAAAUCGGGAAGAAAAGAAACAUCUUCGAACAUAUGUCAUGCAUCAGGACAGGCACAGCUGUUUGAAAAGAAUGAAGUUUAAAAAUUGGGAGAAAAGUAUUUGGAAUUGCGACAUAACGCACUGAACUUUAUCUAUUUUUAUACAAUUUUGGCAAGAACAUGUGGAACUAUUUAUGAUGACUCUUACCUGAUUCUUAGCGGUUUAAGUUCAGUACUAUAUGCAUCACGGAAGGGUUUCAUAGACAGGGCUUAGUCUAAACCAAAAUUAGGCUAUAGUUUAAUUAGGACAUUAAAUAGAUUUUUUAUAAACAUGUCUUAGGAAAAAAAAAACAUUAGUGCUUUGCGUCUUAAGACAAAACUAAGGCAUUGACAUGUUUUAGGAUCAGUCGGUGUAAGUUUCUUUCAGUUGAAACAGCUCAGAUUUACAUUUUAGUUUGGGACUAGGCUUAAGCCUCGUCUGUGAAACCUGGGGUAAAUUUAUUAGUUUAUUUUAGAAAAUGUCCUCUGAAUGGAACUUUUAUAUGCAAUUCAAACACAUAAACCUCGAAUUUAAGCAUUUAUUGAGUGGAAAAAUAUAUUAAACAAAGCUGAAACUAUAACACCGCUAAAUCAUAAUCAGAUUAGCCAGAAUGUUACAUUAGUGAACACACAAAGACUGAUAUAAACAUUAAAGCGAAAAUGACCUUUCAUGCAGUUUUAAAACAAGUCCCAAGCUGUUUUAUGACGUCAAUAUGAAACAUUAACAUAUUGCCUGCCACGUGCUGGUCUGAAUGAAAAUCCUUAGCUGAUUCAUUCUUAGCUAGCAGGUGCCGCUUUUGGAGCUAACAAACACUGCUUUAAUCGAAAUUCACCAACCACCGAGGGGUUUGGAAAAAUGAAUUAUUGAACCAAUCGUUUGGGAGUCAUUGAACAAGCAAGGUAAAAAAAUAAGCGCACAUAGUAAACAAAUGAAAGUGUUUUUUGACCUUGCAUGCAUGUCAACCUGUUGUUCAGACUCCCAAAGCCAAACUAUAAAUCUUUCAUAACCCAUAAAAGCUUAAAAAUAGGUCGAUCUUUCCGUGUCUCCGGUCUUAGCCGUCACAGCUCAGGAUAGUCACUAACGGAGGCUUUGGGAAUGCGUGCGCUCUUGUGGUGCCAUUAGUCAGAUGCUGUCCUGACGUCAGCUUUCCAGUGAGUUCAGACAGCAGGAGCAUCCCGCAUCCAGCAGAGAAACUCCCACUGAGGUGAAUGGGAAAUCUAACAGUCUGAACAUGACAGACACUCAAAGUUAUCCGUCUAAAGCCGAAGGCCAGAAUGAUGCUUACCUGGUAAUCUGAAAGAGCGAUCCAUACCAUCUUCUUUUCCACAUCAUAUGAAGCAAUUCAACUGGAAAACACACCUGAAAACAGCAGUGCAGAAAGUCACAUUUUUAUUUGUCACUCAAAACCUGUUAAUGGUUUUAUUGCAAAACCCAACAGGGCCUGACCUGAUCCUGUCAGAUAUGACAGUGUAUAGUACACGCAACAUUAAAUAAAUGCACUGGUAGCAUUCCAAAACAAAAACAGGGUUUGAUUGCAUAGCUGCAGGCUUGUGAGAUGGGGAAUGAAACUUUUACUCUCUCAAAAGUGUUUACAAUUAUUCAAAACUAUAACACAGGAUGACAAGCAAUAUUUUGAACUGCUUUUUUUAGUUGAAUGAUUCUUCAUUAUUCCAAACAAAUGCAUGUUUGGAAAAACUUUAGAUGAUUUCAGUCUAAGAAGAUCUUAAACUGUGUCAAAUAAAUAGAGGUAAAGGAAUAGUUUACCAAAACCUUUUUUUAUUUCCUCACCCUCAGUCCUCAAGAUGUAGAUGGGUUUGUUUCUUCCUCUGAAUACAUUUGGAGAAAUGUAGCGUUACCUCACUUGCUCGCAAAUGGCUGCUCUGCAGUGAAUGGGUGCCGUCAGAAUGAGAGUCCAACAGCUGAUUAAAACAAACUUGUUAACUCUUAACUAACAACAUGUAUGUUAGACACUAUUCCAUCUAAAAAGCUGCUUGCAGAAGUCAUAGAUCCUUCCAGCCAGGAUUUAGACGUAGUACUGAGACUGCUUUCAUUAGAGUUACAAAUGACCUGGUUCUAUCAUCUAUCAUCUAUCAUUUCUUUAUCAUUACUAUCGAUCACAACAUUCUCUUGAGGAGACUAGAAAACUAUGUUGGCAUUAGUGGAAGUGCCUUAGCAUGGUUCAAAUCGUACUGGUCUGACCGCUAUCAUUUCGUAGCAGUAAAUGAGGAGGUAUCAUAUCGAUCUCAAGUGAAAUAUGGAGUACCUCAAGGCUCAGUACUAAGGCCGUUACUUUUCACACUUUACACACGUUACCUCCAGGAGGUAUUAUCAUGAGGCAUGAUGCUAGUUUUCACUGUUAUGCUCAUGAUACCCAGCUAUAUUUAUUCGUGACCUGGUGAUACACACCAAAUUAAGACAUAACUAACAAUGCAUAGUCGUUAUAAAAAACUGGAUGACCAAUUUUUAAUGCUAAAGACAGAGGUGCUAAUUAUCGGGCCUAAAAAUUGAAUAACUUAAAACACCGUCUAACACUAGUUGGCUGCUCUGUUAAUUCUUCUUCAUUAGUUAGGAACCGAAGUGUGCUGUUUGAUAUCUGAAAAACAUAUCUAAAUUGCGACCUAUGCUCUCAAUGUCAAAUGCAGAAAUGUUAAUUCGUGCAUUUAUGACCUCGAGAUUAGACUAUUGUAAUGCGUUGUCAGGUGGUUGUUCUGCACGCUUGAUAAACAAACAUCAGCUGGUCCAAAACGCAGCAGUAAAGAGUCCUUACUAGAACCAAGAAGUAUGACCUGGUUCUGACAACACUGCACUGGCUCCCUAUGAAACAUCGGAUAGAUUUUAAAAUCUUGUUCAUUUAAAUCCCUGAAUGGUUUAUCUUCUCAAUACUUGAGCAAGCUCUUAUUACAUUAUAAUCCUCCAA